UCUCUCGCGCGCGCUGGCGCCCCCUCCCCGCCACGUGACCGGCGGCCCGACAGGACCCGAAAGCUGCGCCCCGCUAUGCAACGCCGACCGCGUUGCCGCACUGCUGUGGGGGACUCGCCCUUUCGGCCAGCCGUCGGAGGACCUCGGGGUGACCUACUCGCAUCUGGGACACCAACGUCGAUCUCGCCCUCAGUCUCUGCCAGAGAAAAGGGGGAAACCGCUAAGGACGGAUGGGGCGUGUCCCCCGGCUCCUGACUCAGCCACAUCACCAGGAACCAGAAUCUGGAGAAGUUACAUGCCGGCAACAACAGGAAGCACAAAGCCAUAAACUGCAAACAGGCAACAAACAUCAGGGCAACCAUCCACGUAGAAGAUUAGUAUUUCAGGGACUUCCCUGGUGGCGCAGUGGAUAAGAAUCUGCCUGCCA
Aethalodelphis obliquidens (Pacific white-sided dolphin) is the source of this 427-nucleotide long non-coding RNA. RefSeq lists it as uncharacterized. The record is from RefSeq and is a predicted model, not a curated record. The transcript has 3 exons. NCBI's taxonomy places the organism in Eukaryota, Metazoa, Chordata, Mammalia, Artiodactyla, Delphinidae.